CUUCUCUUGCGUUUUACCACAAACACUUCAGUUAUAGAAUGUUUACUGUGUAUAACACAAUUAUAUACAACUUUCAGCAACGGAUCUCUUGGCUCUCGCAUCGAUGAAGAACGCAGCGAAAUGCGAUAAGUAAUGUGAAUUGCAGAAUUCAGUGAAUCAUCGAAUCUUUGAACGCACCUUGCACUCCUUGGUAUUCCGAGGAGUAUGCCUGUUUGAGUCUCAUGGUAUUCUCAACCCCUAAAUUUUUCUAGUGAAGAUUUGGUGGGCUUGGACUUGGAGGUUGUGUUGGCUCUCGCUAGUCGACUCCUCUGAAAUACAUUAGUGUGAACCUUACGGAUCGCCUUCAGUGUGAUAAUUAUCUGCGCUGUGGUGGUGAAGUAUUUAUUGUAUUCACGCUUCUAACCGUCUCUCCUUCGAGACAAAUACUUUGACAAUCUGAGCUCAAAUCAGGUAGGAUUACCCGCUGAACUUAAGCAUAUCAAUAAGCGGAGGAAAAGAAACUAACAAGGAUUCCCCUAGUAACUGCGAGUGAAGCGGGAAAAGCUCAAAUUUAAAAUCUGGCGGCUUUGGUCGU
Molecule: ribosomal RNA, 574 nt
Filed under: Irpex flavus
Lineage: Eukaryota; Fungi; Basidiomycota; Agaricomycetes; Polyporales; Irpicaceae
Description: eukaryotic LSU rRNA
Rfam family: 5.8S ribosomal RNA (bases 69-222)
Source: RNAcentral